CCAAGCAAACUUCAUUUCCCAUGAUGCCGUGCGACCACAAGACACACGUGCAGCUCUGAAAGCAGCAUCGUGGUGAUGUUUGUGCAAUUGCAGUAUCCAAAGGUUUAUUUUACUCCUGGAAUCCCAGAAGUGCAUAUCCAUCAAGAUUGACACCCUACUCCAGGUCCUGUCCAAGAAAUCUGAAUUCCUGAUCUGUCAACUAAAAGAAAAUGCGCAUCAGAUGAUGGAAGCUGAGGAGACGGCACUUCUAAGAAAGCCUUUUUUUGGGCAGAUUUCCUCUCAUGACACAGGAUGGAUCGCGGCACAUUUAGCCAAUCCGAAGUCACUUUCACACAUGAGGCGGUCUGCACCUGGGUUCAUCUCAAAAUGAAUCCAAGGCCACCAGUUUUGGAAACAGAUGUCCGAGAACUGUUCAGUUUGAUUUGCAAUUUGACUUAGUGAAACAAUUUAAUGACUACAGUGAUUUGAAUGGAACACGUAGACAUAAUUGUGUCUUCAGUCUUAAAUAAGGGUACUCAAAACUAUAUUACUACAGCUUGGUGCAAUUCAUUAACGUAAGAGUUCCCUUGGUAAAUCUCAAUUGAAUCAUCAGUGAAAGCAACUGAUGAUUCAAUUUAAAUCGAGUCAACAUCAGACUCGAGUCACGUAGCAGAUAGACUACCCAGAAUGGCUUACUUAAUACUUGACUUGGGUUGAAACAUACACACACACACACACACACACACACACACACACACACACACACACACACACACACAGCCAGAAAGAGCCACUAAUUGUGAUACACACUCUCUUGGCAUGAAGCUUUCAAUCUAUGAAUGAUAUCUGAUUUGCAAUAGAGUGCAAAAUUACACGUCCCUAAUGCAAGAAGUUACAGCAUACAGUAAGUGCACUUACACACACACACACACACACACACACACACACACACACACACACACACACACACACACACACACACACACACACACUUCAUUUUAAGACAAGCCAAGCAAUUGAUGUGUUAUGGCAGAGAAUGACAGAACAGAAAACAAUAAGCUCUUGGCUCACAGUCUUCAUAGACUCCUUUCUGAAUGCCACAAGCCGAGACAGUUAUAUAAGCGGUGUAUUUCAUUAUGAACUUGUCCCCCAUCUGAUGACCUUUCUGAGGCCAUUCUCAUAUAUUCAUGCCACAUACACACAGUAAUCUUCCUCUCUAAAUUAACCUUUAUGAGAGCACGCCGUGCUUGUUCCAGAAACUAAAGUGCAGUUAAAUGAAUUCGAUAAACUUAAUUACAAGUUGUUGAAUCUGAUUAGAGUUUUUUUUUUUUUGGUGUCUGCCAUUGUUUAGCAAUGAACUUUAUAUAGGAAAAUGAAAGGAAAGAAAAUUAUGAAAUUAAAAUUUGUUGACAUGAACUAUUUAUGUUUGUCAGGUCACUGCUAGACUUCCAGAUAUCACAUCAGACAUCGCUGCCUUCAAACACGGCAACCCAAGACACCAACUUCCAAGACACACUUGCACGUUUAGAUUCUCUUUUGUAUUGAUUAGUCACACCUGAUCACCUCAUUCUGAUUAAUUCAACUGCACACUCACAGUCACGGUUUAAAACAACUAAACUCAACACACGACAAAAUCUAAUUCAUUCAACACACUAUAAAUUAAUUCGUUUACUAGCUGUAGUCUCUGCUGUUUACCAAGCCUUUGGUUUUGUGUUUUGGUUUACUGGACUGAUAUAGUUUCAUUUUUUUUUUUUAUGAUCACGUUCCUAUUUUGCCUUGUUUGUUUGCUGAUUGCUCCAACCUUUUUAUUUUUUAUUUUAUGUUUAAGAAUUUGGAUUAUAAUUUGUAUGACUAUGUUGCACAUUAAUAAACUUUCUUAUACUU
This is a long non-coding RNA of Silurus meridionalis, 1863 nucleotides long. RefSeq lists it as uncharacterized. The transcript has 4 exons. Lineage: Eukaryota; Metazoa; Chordata; Actinopteri; Siluriformes; Siluridae. The record is from RefSeq and is a predicted model, not a curated record.